RNAcentral lists this ribosomal RNA (594 nucleotides) under uncultured bacterium. Its description in RNAcentral is "bacterial SSU rRNA". It matches the Rfam family "Bacterial small subunit ribosomal RNA", at positions 338 to 960 of the family's 1533-position model. The record is from RNAcentral.
CCUACGGGAGGCAGCAGUGGGGAAUCUUGCGCAAUGGGCGAAAGCCUGACGCAGCAACGCCGCGUGCGGGAAGAAGGCUUUCGGGCUGUAAACCGCUUUCAGCAGGAACGAAAAUGACGGUACCUGCAGAAGAAGGAGCGGCCAACUAUGUGCCAGCAGCCGCGGUGAUACAUAGGCUUCAAGCGUUGUCCGGAUUUAUUGGGCGUAAAGAGUUCGUAGGCGGUCAAGUAAGUCGGGUGUGAAAAUUCUGGGCUCAACCCAGAGACGCCACCCGAUACUGCUUAACUUGAGUUCGAUAGGGGAGUGGGGAAUUCCUAGUGUAGCGGUGAAAUGCGCAGAUAUUAGGAGGAACACCGGUGGCGAAGGCGCCACUCUGGAUCGAUACUGACGCUGAGGAACGAAAGCAUGGGUAGCAAACAGGAUUAGAUACCCUGGUAGUCCAUGCCGUAAACGGUGGGCACUAGGUGUGGGUUUCUAUUAACGAAAUCCGCGCCGUCGCUAACGCAUUAAGUGCCCCGCCUGGGGAAGUCGGUCGCAAGACUAAAACUCAAAGGAAUUGACGGCNGAGACGNGCGACGACGACGACGAGGAGAG